RNAcentral lists this ribosomal RNA (250 nucleotides) under uncultured bacterium. RNAcentral's name for it is "partial 16S ribosomal RNA". It matches the Rfam family "Bacterial small subunit ribosomal RNA", at positions 779 to 1031 of the family's 1533-position model. The record is from RNAcentral.
UAGAUACCCUGGUAGUCCGCACGGUAAACGAUGGAUGCCCGUUCUUCGUUCUUUUGAAUGAGGGACCAAGCGAAAGCAUUAAGCAUCCCACCUGGGGAGUACGCCGGCAACGGUGAAACUCAAAGGAAUUGACGGGGGCCCGCACAAGCGGAGGAACAUGUGGUUUAAUUCGAUGAUACGCGAGGAACCUUACCCGGGCUUGAAUUGCAGGAGAACGAUCUAGAGAUAGUGAGGUCCUUCGGGACUCCUG